This 393-nucleotide ribosomal RNA is filed under the name uncultured bacterium. Its description in RNAcentral is "bacterial SSU rRNA". It matches the Rfam family "Bacterial small subunit ribosomal RNA", at positions 521 to 916 of the family's 1533-position model. The record is from RNAcentral.
UAAUACGAAGGUGGCAAGCGUUGUUCGGAUUCACUGGGCGUACAGGGAGCGUAGGCGGUUGGGUAAGCCCUCCGUGAAAUCUCCAGGCUUAACCUGGAAAGUGCAGAGGGGACUGCUCAGCUAGAGGAUGGGAGAGGAGCGCGGAAUUCCCGGUGUAGCGGUGAAAUGCGUAGAGAUCGGGAGGAAGGCCGGUGGCGAAGGCGGCGCUCUGGAACAUUUCUGACGCUGAGGCUCGAAAGCGUGGGGAGCAAACAGGAUUAGAUACCCUGGUAGUCCACGCCUUAAACGAUGAAUACUAAGUGUCGGCGGGUUACCGCCGGUGCCGCAGCUAACGCAGUAAGUAUUCCGCCUGGGAAGUACGGCCGCAAGGUUGAAACUUAAAUGAAUUGACGG